Molecule: ribosomal RNA, 253 nt
Filed under: uncultured bacterium
Lineage: Bacteria
Description: partial 16S ribosomal RNA
Rfam family: Bacterial small subunit ribosomal RNA
Source: RNAcentral
GACAGAGGGUGCGAACGUUGUUCGGAAUUACUGGGCGUAAAGCGAGUGUAGGCGGUUUGGUAAGUCGGAUGUGAAAGCCCCGGGCUCAACCCGGGAAGUGCACUCGAUACUGCCAAGCUAGAGUAUCGGAGAGGUUCGUGGAAUUCUCGGUGUAGAGGUGAAAUUCGUAGAUAUCGAGAGGAACACCGGCGGCGAAGGCGGCGAACUGGACGAAUACUGACGCUGAGACUCGAAAGCGUGGGGAGCAAACAGG